This 253-nucleotide ribosomal RNA is filed under the name uncultured bacterium. RNAcentral's name for it is "partial 16S ribosomal RNA". It matches the Rfam family "Bacterial small subunit ribosomal RNA", at positions 524 to 776 of the family's 1533-position model. The record is from RNAcentral.
UACGUAGGGGGCUAGCGUUGUCCGGAAUCAUUGGGCGUAAAGAGCGCGUAGGCGGCCAGAUAAGUCCGGUGUGAAAACUCGAGGCUCAACCUCGAGACGUCGGCGGAAACCCUCUGGCUAGAGUCCGGAAGAGGAGAGUGGAAUUCCUGGUGUAGCGGUGAAAUGCGCAGAUAUCAGGAAGAACACCCGUGGCUAAGGCGGCUCUCUAGUACGGUACUGACGCUGAGACGCGAAAGCGUGGGGAGCGAACAGG